CAUGCAUGAUGAACGAGGGCGUCGCCCUAUACAGGCGCACGGGUGCGUAACGCGUGGGAAUCUGCCCUUGGGUUCGGAAUAACAGCGAGAAAUUGCUGCUAAUACCGGAUGAUGACGUAAGUCCAAAGAUUUAUCGCCCAAGGAUGAGCCCGCGUAGGAUUAGCUAGUUGGUGAGGUAAAGGCGCACCAAGGCGACGAUCCUUAGCUGGUCUGAGAGGAUGAUCAGCCACACUGGGACUGAGACACGGCCCAGACUCCUACGGGAGGCAGCAGUGGGGAAUAUUGGACAAUGGGCGAAAGCCUGAUCCAGCAAUGCCGCGUGAGUGAUGAAGGCCUUAGGGUUGUAAAGCUCUUUUACCCGGGAUGAUAAUGACAGUACCGGGAGAAUAAGCUCCGGCUAACUCCGUGCCAGCAGCCGCGGUAAU
Molecule: ribosomal RNA, 425 nt
Filed under: uncultured bacterium
Lineage: Bacteria
Description: bacterial SSU rRNA
Rfam family: Bacterial small subunit ribosomal RNA
Source: RNAcentral